AGAUACCAACAUGAGCAUGAAACAUACUCCACAAAGGAGCUGUUCAACAAGGGGUCCCAUGAUUUCAGGGCCACUAGUCCAGAAAAGGAUAUUCAGUCACGGUGCAAAAGAAGAGGGUAUAUGAGGACCUCUUUGAAGGGAGCUGAGAAAAGGACCUGGGGAAGCCCCUCAGCCUGGUGAUCUUUCUCCUGCUUCCUGAAAACCCAGCACUCUUCAUACCUAUCCUAUCCUGGCUUGGCUGUAGACUGAGUGGACGGUCUUUCCUCCAGAGGAACUUCUAUGAGAGUCCAACAGACAACCAGAUUCCAGAAUCAUAUGGAGAAACCAGCUUUCUAUCCAUGGCCUAAAGGAAGCUGAAACAGCUUAGAGGCUGAAGAAAUGAACCACAGAGCUUGAAACAGAGGCAAUCAAGUCAUCUCAAACAGCGGGACUAGGAAAUCUAAGUCAAGUCUGAAGAGAAAGGUAGUGAAAGACUUACCAUUUUUCUUUUUCUUUUUCAAAAGAAGUCAAUGGCCAUUCAGUGUUUAAAUGAGAACAAAGACUACAGGGGGGAAAAAUUAAGGUAAAUAUUUGUAAUAAUGUGUCAUUGCAUUUUACAUAAUGGGCCAGCAGUCUUUGAAAUGUGACGACAUCCAUAUCUACAGUUUUAUUUGUUUUUUCUUAUUUGCUCUCCUGAGGCAAGUCUCUUUUAGGCUGUCAGCCACCAAAGCAGCUAGCAAAUACAAGGACACUGAAAGGCAUUCUGCCAACACGACCUCAGAAGUAUUUACAGACUGCAAUGGAGACCAUGAUAUAAUUCAGUUUCUGCAUGGCUAUACUCUUUGCCAAUUAAUAUUCUAAUGUAUCCUUUGAGGAUGUGGUAAAUGUUGGUUUAAGAUAAAACAGCAAAGACAAAUAUUAGUGUGCCACAUAAAGGUAUUACUUGCCAUGAGAGCACUGUUUCUUAGUACAGACUACCUGGAUUGCACAACCAGAGAUUCUGGUCUCACUGGACCAGAGUGUACAGCCUGGGUACCAGGAUUUUCAAAUAGCCUCGUCCACCUAGUGAUUCUAAUAAGCAGCUAUGAUUGAGAAACACUGUACUCGUCAAUUACCAGAAUGUUUUGUAUUCUAUUUGGAACACAACUAAAAUUUGACCUGAUGAACUCGUGCAAAAUAUUAAAAGCUGAACCUGCAGAGGCCAGAUGCAGUGGCUCAUGCCUGUAAUCUUACCACGUUGGGAGGCUGAGUCAGGCAGAUCGCUUGAACCCAGGGGUUCAAGACCAGCCUAGGCUACAUGGUGAAACUUCAUCUCUAUUAAAAAUACAAAAAUUAGCCAGGCAUGGUGAUAUGCACCUGUAGUCCCAGCUACUCAGGAGGCUAAGGUGGGAGAAUGGCUUGAACCUCCAGAGGCAAAGGUUGCAGUGAGCUAUGAUCGUGCCACUGUACUCCAGUUUGGGUGACAGAAUGAGACCCUGUCUCAAAAACAAACAACAAACAAAAAAGGCUGAAACUGCAGAGAAAUAGGGAGAGGACUAUGGAAAUAUUAUAGAAAGAUAAAUAGCUGAAGAAGUAAUGUCACCGCCACACACCCUAACCUGAUAUUUGAGGAAAAGAGACGAAACACACAAGUAACAAAAACAAAAGGUGAAGCUUGGUUAGUCCAAUCCUUGAUGCCCAGAAAAAAAUCUUACAGGAGACCAGAAGAUAAGGGCCAACAAAAGCUGAACAGAAGUUCAGUGAAAAUCAGUAAGGUCUUUAGGAUAGUCUAGUUCUGCCUCAUUUUCCUGAGGCAGCAGUGGGAAGCAGCUGGCCCUCCUGCCCCUCUCCCCAGCCCCUCCAGGCCUGCAUGCUAUCCUUGGGGACCCUAGGCCUCUGCUGGGAUUUCCCUCUGCUGUGGGGAUUUCCAUGCUGGCCUAGAGGCCCGCGGCAAGUAGCCCAGUUGCUAGAGCCUGGAGGCAGGUGAGCAGGGUGGUAGAAGGUGAGGGAGUGAUGUCAGAGAAGCCUCUCAACAGACAGCAUCAGCUUCCUGACGCUUAGAAGACCCCUUGUUUCUUCCAUCUCUUCAGAGCCAGGGCCAUCAGGUGGCCCAUAAACUCCUUUUUCACAUGCAAGCUGAGAAGGCUGUGAGCCAGCCACAUGGCAGGGGGUUGAGAGGCCAUCACCCUGCGUGUUCACCGCCUCUCCUCGCUGCUGCUGGAAGGAAAGGGCUUUGCCUCCAGUUAAGGGAACAUGAGGUCCUCAUAAAGGUUUCAGAGAGUUGGAGCAGAGAUGGAGGGGCUGAUAACUUGUCUCUGUCCCUAAUAUCUGACAGAAACAAAGAGCAAGGAAUACAACACUUACUAUUUAACAUUUAAUUUAGGAUGGCACCAAUUUCCAUUAAGUGAAGCAUCAAGGAAAAAUGCUGAUAUUGAUAGUCUUCUAGGAUCCUUAAUCAUUCUCAUAAUUUUAAAAAAAUCUAAAGAUUUUCUGAGCUAGAUAUGGUAGUAAUUAUAAUUUUUGUAGUAUAUAUCAUGUGUAUUACAAAAAGAUACAUAUAAAUAUGUAUAAAAUAUGAUAUAUUUUCUGUAAAUUCUUUAUCCUAGUAUUUAAUUCCCAUGACACAAUAAUUAUGCAUAUUAUUAAACCUGUUUCAUCGUCGAGUCAUUUGGUUAAAAUAACUGUAUUCGGGGAUGUUUAAUCCUUACAGCUCCUUGAACCAAAAGCCUGGAGGUUUAGUUACAGGUUUACAAAUCACAGGGAAAACUGUUCCUAGUAGCUUUCUCAUGCUAUCAUAGCCUUUGUCUUUUUCUGCCUCUCCUUUGUCAAAAUAUAUCUGUCAGAGAAAGAUUUCUCACCAUGAUAAUCAGUAAAUCUCCCCAAGAAAUGACUGUAAAAUUGGAUAACAUUGUCAAAAAUAACAAUUUUAGGCCUUUGAAAACUAAGCAAAGACAAGAAAAUAAGCAAACAAACCAACUGAGAAGGAUUUACCCAUUAAAUAAAAGACAGAUAGACUUUGGGCCUCCAUGGUAUUCUUGCCUGGGGCUGCUCCCAUCAUCUCUCCAGCUCAAGGGUCUUGGUAGUUCUACCAGGGCAGGGCUGGUCAUGAAAACCAGCAGCUUCACUCCUAGCAGGGCUCACUCGUGUCUAGUGGGACUGUCAGUAAAAUAAUAAGGCUAGUAACACACAUGCCUCAUAGUCUGAGGUUGCUCUCACAGAUCGGGGGCAUUUCAGGCUGGCAGACUAGCCAGACAUUUAGCAAAGAGAUCCUAGAAAUGAGAGCACUGCAGAAAGCCUAGAUAAGACCCCAGGCAGACGGGGAUGGGAUGCUACACACAUGCUCAUGGGACACCCAGAAGGGCCCAGUUGAAAGUAAAACCCAGGGAAGACUUGAAAACUGUCUGAACUUGGAACAUGCUCCUGUUACCACAUCAGCAGAAGGUGGAAGCUCUGCUGGCUUGAGGUGUUUGAGCACAACAUCUGACCAGUCUUUGGGUGACCACUAAACUACAAGAUGCAGGGGAAUCCCGUGGGAACCCAGGCUAGUAAAAUGAAAAUAAGAAUUAAAAAAAAAAAAGAAAAAAAUAGCUGCCUGACAUCAGUGGGGAAACAAGUUCUGCAGAAUAAGUCUAGGCAACUUACUAAAACAGCAAGAGCAGCAGCAACAACAAAAUGACAACAACCUUUGGGGGGAAAGUAAGAAUCCAGAAUUUUGACAUCAUCUAUUUGCUAAAAUGACUGGUUUUCAACAAAAUAUCAUGAGAUAGGCAAAGAAAUAAGAUGGUAUGACCUAUAUUCAGGAAAAAUAUCAGUCAACAGAAACUGUCUUGGAGCAGGCCCUAAUGUUGAAUUUAGCACAGGAAGAAACAAUCCAAAAUGAAGCAAAAAAAAAAAUGACUGAAGAAAAUACUGAGCAGAGCACUAGAGGCCUAUGAGAAAACAGCAAGCUGUCAUUGGACUCUGUACUCGGUCUCAGAAGAAAGUGAUAGGAAAAAAAAAUCAAAAGUCUGUGGGAAUAACGGCCACACAUUGUAAGCACAUAACAACACAUUCUGAAAAGAAAGAAUAUCCUAAAAACAGACAAAUAAACAAUAUGUAGAAGUACAAUAAUAAAAAAAAAUGGCUGAUUUUCAGGAAAACAGUGCAGCCUCAUUUCAAAACACACACACACAAGGUCUGUCAACCUAGAGUUCUCUAUAUCCAGAAAAAGAACAUAUAUCUAGUAAUAAUAUCCUUCAAAGCAAAGAUGAAAUGAAGACAUAUUCAUAUCAACUAAAGCUGAGAAGAAUCCUUUGCCAGUAGACCUACGUUGUGAGAAAUGCUAAAAAAAAAAAAAAAAAAACAGGUUUUCAUGCUGAAAUCAUACUAGUCUGAAACUUGAUAACUUAGUUCUACAGGAAAGCUUAAAAAGUACCUGAAAUGGUAAAGAAGUAGAUAAAUACGUAAUACUA
This 4409-nucleotide long non-coding RNA is filed under the name Homo sapiens (human). RNAcentral's name for it is "non-protein coding lnc-C15orf53-9:3". The record is from RNAcentral. Lineage: Eukaryota; Metazoa; Chordata; Mammalia; Primates; Hominidae.